This 254-nucleotide ribosomal RNA is filed under the name uncultured bacterium. RNAcentral describes it as "partial 16S ribosomal RNA". It matches the Rfam family "Bacterial small subunit ribosomal RNA", at positions 524 to 776 of the family's 1533-position model. The record is from RNAcentral.
UACGGGGGGAGCAAGCGUUGUUCGGAUUUACUGGGCGUAAAGGGCGGGUAGGCGGCCACCGCAGGUCAGUUGUGAAAUCUCCGGGCUUAACCCGGAAAGGUCAACUGAUACUGCGGGGCUAGAGUGCAGAAGGGGCAACUGGAAUUCUCGGUGUAGCGGUGAAAUGCGUAGAUAUCGAGAGGAACACCUGCGGCGAAGGCGGGUUGCUGGGCUGACACUGACGCUGAACUGCGAAAGCUAGGGGAGCGAACGGG